RNAcentral lists this ribosomal RNA (466 nucleotides) under uncultured bacterium. Its description in RNAcentral is "bacterial SSU rRNA". It matches the Rfam family "Bacterial small subunit ribosomal RNA", at positions 32 to 524 of the family's 1533-position model. The record is from RNAcentral.
AAUCAACGCUGGCGGCGUGCCUAACACAUGCAAGUCGAGCGAGAAAGUGGAGCAAUCCAUGAGUAAAGCGGCGACCGGGUGAGUAACACGUGACUAACCUACCUUCGAGUGGGGAAUAACUCCGGGAAACCGGGGCUAAUACCGCAUAACAUCGAAAGAUCAAAGCAGCAAUGCGCUUGAAGAGGGGGUCGCGGCUGAUUAGCUAGUUGGCGGGGUAAUGGCCCACCAAGGCGAAGAUCGGUAUCCGGCCUGAGAGGGCGCACGGACACACUGGAACUGAAACACGGUCCAGACUCCUACGGGAGGCAGCAGUGGGGAAUUUUGCGCAAUGGGGGAAACCCUGACGCAGCAACGCCGCGUGGAGGAUGAAGCCCCUUGGGCGUAAACUCCUUUCGACCAAGACGAUAAUGACGGUACUGGUGGAAGAAGCACCGGCUAACUCUGUGCCAGCAGCCGCCGCGGUAAG